GGAUCGCCUCUUCAAGCGACGACCAACCCCGCCGGAGUCAGGACCAGACUUCGCUCAACAUGCCUCCAUGCGUCGCCUUCCCGGCGUCAACCGCGCCACUGGCGAUCGUCUCGCCGGACCUUCCUCUCUCUGUUCCGACCCAACCUAGGCACCGUGAAAACGCGCCGACACCGGAACACUAUCCUCACAACUAGUCAUCCUAACCGCCUCACCACCAGAAAUCGACAUUGCUGUCGUAGGAGAGACUACCACGAGGUCACGCACCGACCAGCCACCGUGCCUUCGUGAAGCCACCGAGAAGACGUUGCCACUGUCGCGCUGGAAGCCCUCCGUCACUCUCUUCCUUCUUCCAAGCACCACCGCAACCUUCAACGCCUCACCACGGUUUGGCUCCUUUUGGUAUUCUUAUUGAUUGCUAGUUGAAUCAAAGAGACCAAAAUUCUCUUUGAAGAAUCGAAGAAAGACUAGUUUGCUGCUUACUCCGCUGUGCACCGCCGCUACCCGCCGCCGGUCAUCGUCCGCCGUCGGCCGCCGUACGUCGCCGAACACCAUCUGUCGCAGGCCACCAUCGCAGUUGCGACCGAUGACCAACAUCUGGGUCGCCUCUUCAGGCGACGACAAUCCCCGCCGGAGUCAGGACCACUCUCCGUUGAACGCGCCUCUAUGCGCCGCCUUCCCAGUGUCGACAUCAAACCGCGCCACUGCCGGUCGUGUCACUGGUCCUUCCUCUCUCUGUUCUGACCCAACCUAGGCACUGUGAAAAUGUGCCGACACCGGACCACGAUCCUCACAACCAGUCAACCUCACCGCCGCACCACUUCGCAGGAGAGACUACCACGAGGUCGCGCGCCGACCAACCACCGUACCGUCGUGAAGCUGCCGAGAAGACGCUGCCACUGUCGCGUAGGAAGCCCUCUGUCACUCUCCUCCUUCUUCAUCGUGUAACAGCCAUCAGCGAGCAUCGUUGUCGUCAGUCCUCUUCCUUCUUCCACGCACCACCGCAACCUUCAACCACGGUUUGGCUCCUUUUGGUAUUCUUAUUGACUGCUAGUUGAAUCAAGGUUUAAUACCUAUUUUGGUCCCUCUUUUGGGAGGGUUUAUUCAAAGUGGUCAUCCCUUUUUUAAAAAGUUCACUAAAGUCCUACCUUUUGCAAAAAUUGUGCAAGUAGGUCCUUUUUGGUUACG
RNAcentral lists this long non-coding RNA (1185 nucleotides) under Vigna radiata. Its description in RNAcentral is "long non-coding RNA (VRAD_LNC007465)". Lineage: Eukaryota; Viridiplantae; Streptophyta; Magnoliopsida; Fabales; Fabaceae. The record is from RNAcentral.